AGCUCCAAUAGCGUAUAUUAAAGUUGUUUUGCCAGAAUCUUACGGGUGAUCUUUACCGAUUGUCCGUUGGAACUGGCAGGUUUACUUUGAAAAAAUUAGAGUGCUCAAAGCAAGCUUACUGCUUGAAUAGUUGCGCAUGGAAUAAUAGAAUAGGAAGUCGUUUCUAUUUUGUUGGUUUUCGGAAAUCGACUUAAUGAUUAAUAGGGAUAGUCGGGGGCAUUCGUAUUCAAACGACAGAGGUGAAAUUCUUGGACCGUUUGAAGACGAACUAAGGCGAAAGCAUUUGCCAAGAAUGUUUUCA
This 301-nucleotide ribosomal RNA is filed under the name marine copepod environmental sample. RNAcentral describes it as "SSU rRNA". The stretch from base 69 to 301 matches the Rfam family "Eukaryotic small subunit ribosomal RNA", at positions 739 to 972 of the family's 1831-position model. Lineage: Eukaryota; Metazoa; Arthropoda; Copepoda. The record is from RNAcentral.